Molecule: ribosomal RNA, 497 nt
Filed under: uncultured bacterium
Lineage: Bacteria
Description: partial 16S ribosomal RNA
Rfam family: Bacterial small subunit ribosomal RNA
Source: RNAcentral
GAUGAACGCUGGCGGCGUGCCUAAUACAUGCAAGUCGAGCGAACAGACGAGGAGCUUGCUCCUCUGACGUUAGCGGCGAACGGGUGAGUAACACGUGGAUAACCUACCUAUAAGACUGGGAUAACUUCGGGAAACCGGAGCUAAUACCGGAUAACAUGUUGAACCGCAUGGUUCAACAGUGAAAGACGGUCUUGCUGUCACUUAUAGAUGGAUCCGCGCCGCAUUAGCUAGUUGGUAAGGUAAGGGCUUACUAAGGCAACGAUGGGUAGUCGACCUGAGAGGGUGAUCGGCCACAGCGGAACUGGGGCAGGGUCAAGACUCCGACGGGAAGCAGCAGUAGGGAAGCUGCCGCAAGGGGCGAAAGCCUGACGGUGCAACGCCGAGUGAGUGAAGAAGAUCUUCGGAUCGUAAAACUCUGUUAUUAGGGAAGAACAAAUGUGUAAGUAACUAUGCACGUCUUGACGGUACCUGAUCAGAAAGCCACGGCUAACUACGUG